UUGGUGGUAAAACUUAGAAACUGCCUUGGUGGGAGGUUUGAGCUGAUAAUGUAGAUGGCACUCGGCCUUACCUUCUGCAGAAACAAUAUCUUAAGGAGACAGCUACAAAUGCAGUGUGACCUGACAGUGGUUGUGAAGCAAAUUAUUGAAGAGCAAUGAAUCUUUAAUCCAGCGUAUACAUCUCUCUAAUCUAGUUAUUCCAAAUCUGACAGCUCAACUGGCUGUGGUGUCUCAGGUUGUAAUUGCUGAGACUCUGCAGAACAGCAAGAGGCUGCAACACCCUCCUCUGUGCAUGACUGGUGUGUACCUUCAAUCACAGCAAGGCUGGAGAGCAGCACACACCACCACCCUGCUUUGCUUUACAUCGGCUGGCCUUCGACACGUGGAUCCAAAGCUUUCGACGAGUUUCUCAGACCUUAAAAAAAUCCUGUUCCCUAUGUACUGUACAGUGGUAAAGUUAUGCUGACAGUUCAGGAAUUGGUCUGCCACCGUCUUCAGGCUUGCUGGAGCUCAGGUGCCUACUUCUGGCUUUCUGCUAGUGGUGUGAUUCCCCCUUAUUUCAGCCUGAGGGAAGGGUUUGCUGUGGCUAUCAGCAAGAACAUUCAUUCUGCACUACGUACAGGGACCUCACAAAAGGCCUCUAAAGGCAGACGUGGGAGGGGACAGACAUUUGCUCUGGUCAGAGGCAUGCAGUCUUGAAGGAAUUUUCUAAAUCUUGCACCAAGUUCUGCAGGGUUCCCUUUUAUCUGCUGAAUGCCCAACAACUGCCCACUUAUGUUAAAGAGAAGCUCUAACACGUGAACACUGUAUUAGGGACAACGGAGACCAUUCACGUUGCAAAUUACUUUAACACAUCCCCCCAAAAGCUGGGGAGUUCCUGGGCUGUCCUAUGGCUGCCAACCUCCCUGACCUAUGGGGAGGGGCCCCUGCCAGGCCCCUCUGUCCCACUGCUGCCCAGAAACAAGUCCUUUGGGUCAAGACAAGGUUCUCUGUGCCCAGAAACAAAUCCUUUUGGUCAAGACAGGGUUCUCUGUGCCCAGAAACAAGUCCUUUUGGUCGAGACAGGGUUCUCUGGUGAGGAGGAGGUUAGGAAGGCUGUAUAGCAUGAAGUGAGGGGAGAAACGGAUGGACAUGUUUUGAUCCCUGCACUUUCUGUUAACAUCUCUGCUUCCUGCAGGAAAUCUUGUCUCAAUCUGACCUGCAGUCUGAAAAACAAGAGUCGAGUUUCCUCUCAUUUGGUAGGUCUUUUGACACUCCAAAUGCAAGAAAAAUAACACCCGGAAAUAGAUAUGUGCCUGUUCAACACACACUUAGGAAAGCAUUUACCUCCUGCACAGCUCUUGCAUGAUGAAAGCUUUCGCUAAGAAAUGUCCAUUUUGGGUUAAACAGAACUCUAAGUCUGAGACAGUUUUGUUUAUAUCAUUUACAUUCAGUAAUGCCUUCUUGGCACAGAAACUUGCACGAUGGCUGCCAAAGUUUAAAAGAGGCAAAGCUGAGGUCGUUGUCAGAGGUAGAAACAAUACAUCAUCUGCCCAGAAUGGGCCCCUCACAGCACGCUGAGGGCCCCAGUUCCUGCACUCAUGGGAAGACAAAAACUUUUAUUAAAUUGAAUAUAGUGAGGAAAAUAAAUUAUUUCUGUGUACUAAAUGACAGGCUGGAAUUUCAUUUUGUGACUCUGGCUUGUUAGAUAGUUUUAUCUAUGUUUAAAGCUACCCUCUUAAUCAACUGUGAUACAGCACAGCUUGAAGUGUAACAAGCAAACCUAAAACAUCACAAUCUGCUUAAGAUAAAUUAUAAAAUAACAACUGAGAAAUCUGGUUUCCAAGUGGAUUUGAGGCUUUCUUUCCUUCCCAUGCUGUGACUGGUAGAAGAAUGAAUCUAUUAUUCUACUACGUUCAGUUGCAAUGUAUGUUGGAGAAAGAUGGUUAUAGAAGAACACCUCUGUAUUUCAAGGAUCACUGAUACUCAAACCCUCUUAAAAACUCUUGCUAGUCCUCUAUUUUCAGGAUGCAAUGACUGUACAAUAGAUCCUUCACUUUCAUUUCAAUCACAAGGAUCCACAGCCCUAAUGACUACUUACAAAUUAGUUGCCUAGCAGGCUCCCUUAGUGUAAAGAAAUAUAGGCUGCAACUCAAAAAUCACUGAGAUACCUGGAGCUCCUAGAAGCAAGAGAAUCUCUGAGAGCAAGCUGAUCCCCUUAAAGUGCUUGCUUGGCUGGCAGUUAGCUGGAUGAGUUAAUCUGUAAAUACAGAUUUCCAGCUACCCACAAUCUCUCUAUGUAAGGAAUUGCACUUGAGUUCAUUGAAAAGAGACACCAAACACUGCCACAUGCAGGGAGUAGGUGUGGGUGGCCAGUUAAUAUGGCAGGAAUUUAUCUCUGCAUAUGAGCUCAAGUCCUGGAUCAUGAGGGCAUUUGAUGUUCAAACUAAAUUUGUCAAAACAUAAAAUGUAUUUUUUAAGAAACAGGUUUGGAAGACCAGGCAGCAGUUCUCCCACCAGCAGCACUUGAUAGAACUAAGAAAAAGGGUCAAUAUGAGGCUCGUUAAAACUCCUCUUAAGUCAAAGUAUUGGACUUGAUACUAUUUGCUUAGACCAAAACAUAACAUAGAAGGUAAGGGGCUAGGCUUGUGAUAUGUUAAAACCCACCAAAACUCCCCACAGCUGUGCUGGCCUGGCUAGACAAUGAGGAACAUGGAGAAAGCCCAGGACUUGUAACCCUGCAUUUAUUCUGCUUUCCUCAAGUGAAUCUGUCUAUAAUUUUAGAUUCUACUUUUAGUAGAUCACAAAUUGUUUGCUGUGGUUCUGAGAAUAAGAACCAACCUGCAGGAAAGAUGAGGUGAUCCAAGUGUUAUACUUAUAAAAUACUGUCUGUCUGAAUGUAUCAGCAUUACUGUAAGAUUUGAACAGCUUUGUAAAAUUUAAUUAGCUGCUUUGAUCUAUUAUAAUUAUUCUGGAACCCACACAAAACCUAAAUAAACCAUGAGGAAAAUACAUUCUCUCCAUUUAAUUUAAUAAUUUCAUUGUGGCUUUCUAAAAGAGGAGGAGCAAUUCUAGAGGGUAGCAAAAUAGGCAUCAGGUUGUUGGCAACUUUUCUGGGAUAGAGAAACUGGGGAGAGGCACAGGUAUUAAUUGUGACAUUUCAUUAAUAUGUUCAGAAAAUGGAAGGUGACACCCAGUAUCACUUUUUAGGUAGCAUUUAUGUGUAUGCAUCUAAUUUGGUUAACAGGAUACAGUUGCUUUUGUUUCUAUGCAAAUACAUAUUAUCCGAAUUGUAUGAUUUGGCUUUGUAAUAUCUGUGCCUGCAGCUUUUGGAAACUGCACUGCAUCAUUAUUUUUCACGCUUCUUAAAGCAGCAUGGAAAAGAUUCUCUGGUCUUAGAUUUAAAUUUCACUUAAAUCAUGUUUCAAAGUCCUUUUAUGGUGCACUUAAUAGAAGUGAUCUAGAAGACUUUCCUUAGCGUUAAUUCUCACCUAGCAUCUAUCAGUAAAAUGAAAUAUUUUCUUCUAGUUGUCAAUUACCAAAGCAACAGGACCACUGCUAUAAGUUGUUUCUUAUCUAUCUUAUACAAGUACACAAAAUCCCUCAAACAAAACAGCAAAACCAAAAAAGCCUGGGUGGAGGCGAAGAGGAGAAUUGGCUUUGGGAUAAAAACAAUUUAGUACACAUCUUGCUUAUCUAAU
Cyanistes caeruleus (blue tit) is the source of this 3680-nucleotide non-coding RNA. The record is from RefSeq and is a predicted model, not a curated record. Lineage: Eukaryota; Metazoa; Chordata; Aves; Passeriformes; Paridae.